Dreissena polymorpha is the source of this 319-nucleotide long non-coding RNA. RefSeq lists it as uncharacterized. The transcript has 3 exons. NCBI's taxonomy places the organism in Eukaryota, Metazoa, Mollusca, Bivalvia, Myida, Dreissenidae. The record is from RefSeq and is a predicted model, not a curated record.
AUCGGAGAAGAGGAGAAGGUGCUCCAAGACACGAGUGACAUCUUCGACAAGACCAUCAACUAUUUCUAUGUAGAUAAACAACGUGUCACGCCACAGCAAUUCUUCCACGUCUGGGCGGUGUUUCUGCACGAUUGCAAAUACUUCUGGAAGCUGGCACAUCGCCGUCUGGCCAAGGAGAGGUUCGAACUCGAGUUCAAGUACAAAGGUCAACUGUCGGCGAGUUCCCUCCAGGGUUAUGGUACAUUCCGCGCUGGCGUGCUCCAAGGUUUGGACUCCAAUAAUGUCAACGACCCAAAAACGUCGACAGCUCAGGGUAAUA